CCCUUAGAUGUUCUGGGCCGCACGCGCGCUACACUGAUGCAUUCAACGAGCCUAUCAUUGACCGACAGGUCCGGGUAAUCUUUGAAUCUGCAUCGUGACGGGGAUAGAUUAUUGCAAUUAUUAAUCUUCAACGAGGAAUGCCUAGUAGGCGCAAGUCAUCAGCUUGCGUCGAUUACGUCCCUGCCCUUUGUACACACCGCCCGUCGCUCCUACCGAUUGGGUGUGCUGGUGAAAUGUUCGGAUCGGCCGUUUGUCGCGGUUUCCGCGGCUCGUGGCUGAGAAGUUCAUUAAACCCUCCCACCUAGAGGAAGGAGAAGUCGUAACA
RNAcentral lists this ribosomal RNA (325 nucleotides) under uncultured eukaryote. RNAcentral describes it as "partial 18S ribosomal RNA". It matches the Rfam family "Eukaryotic small subunit ribosomal RNA", at positions 1470 to 1796 of the family's 1831-position model. The record is from RNAcentral.